UACGAAGGGUGCAAGCGUUAAUCGGAAUUACUGGGCGUAAAGCGCGCGUAGGUGGUUCGUUAAGUUGGAUGUGAAAGCCCCGGGCUCAACCUGGGAACUGCAUCCAAAACUGGCGAGCUAGAGUAUGGCAGAGGGUGGUGGAAUUUCCUGUGUAGCGGUGAAAUGCGUAGAUAUAGGAAGGAACACCAGUGGCGAAGGCGACCACCUGGGCUAAUACUGACACUGAGGCGCGAAAGCGUGGGGAGCAAACAGG
This 253-nucleotide ribosomal RNA is filed under the name uncultured microorganism. RNAcentral's name for it is "partial 16S ribosomal RNA". It matches the Rfam family "Bacterial small subunit ribosomal RNA", at positions 524 to 776 of the family's 1533-position model. The record is from RNAcentral.